UGGGGAAUCUUCCGCAAUGGACGAAAGUCUGACGGAGCAACGCCGCGUGAGUGAAGACGGCCUUCGGGUUGUAAAGCUCUGUGAUUCGGGACGAAAGGCCAUAUGUGAAUAAUAUAUGGAAAUGACGGUACCGAAAAAGCAAGCCACGGCUAACUACGUGCCAGCAGCCGCGGUAAUACGUAGGUGGCAAGCGUUGUCCGGAAUUAUUGGGCGUAAAGCGCGCGCCGGCGGUCACUUAAGUCCAUCUUAGAAGUGCGGGGCUUAACCCCGUGAUUGGAAGGAAACUGGGAGACUGGGGGAUCGGAGAGGAAAGUUGAAUUCCUAGUGUAGCGGUGAAAUGCCUAAAUAAUAGGAAGAACACCGGUGGCGAAGGCGACUUUCUGGACGAAAACUGACCCUGAGGCGCGAAAGCGUUGGGAGCAAACAGG
RNAcentral lists this ribosomal RNA (428 nucleotides) under Verrucomicrobiota bacterium. Its description in RNAcentral is "Verrucomicrobia bacterium partial 16S ribosomal RNA". It matches the Rfam family "Bacterial small subunit ribosomal RNA", at positions 355 to 776 of the family's 1533-position model. The record is from RNAcentral. Lineage: Bacteria; Pseudomonadati; Verrucomicrobiota.